UAAAGACUCUCGCCAACGGAUAUCUCGACUCUAGCAUCGAUGAAUAAUGUAUGGAAAUGCGUUACUUGGUGUGAAUUGCAAAUUCCCGCACAUCAGUUAGUCCUUGAGCCCAUCUGCCGACCGAACCCCUUCGGGCGAGGGCACGUCUGCCUGGGUGUCCG
Molecule: ribosomal RNA, 161 nt
Filed under: Juglans regia (Persian walnut)
Lineage: Eukaryota; Viridiplantae; Streptophyta; Magnoliopsida; Fagales; Juglandaceae
Description: 5.8S ribosomal RNA
Rfam family: 5.8S ribosomal RNA
About the family: 5.8S ribosomal RNA (5.8S rRNA) is a component of the large subunit of the eukaryotic ribosome. It is transcribed by RNA polymerase I as part of the 45S precursor that also contains 18S and 28S rRNA.
Source: RNAcentral